RNAcentral lists this ribosomal RNA (396 nucleotides) under Triticum aestivum (bread wheat). RNAcentral describes it as "partial small subunit ribosomal RNA". Lineage: Eukaryota; Viridiplantae; Streptophyta; Magnoliopsida; Poales; Poaceae. The record is from RNAcentral.
AUGGAGACAGACAACAGGUCCGAAUCAGAGGCUUGCCUCGGCCACCAGAUGGCGCUAAGUGUACAGAUCAAGGUGUGUCCUUUCUCUCAUACAUGCCCAACUAAGCUGAGAAGUGACAAGUUCAAGCCGGCUAAGAGUAGGUGGGUUGCUGAUGUUAUCCUAGAUUGGGCUAGAAAGAACCCAGACAUUGGCCCUACUGCUCUUCAAGAGAAGAUCGAGGAGAAGUAUCACUUCACGGUGUCGUACAUGCGUGUAUCUCGUGGAACGGACGACGACAGCAUCCUGUGCCGGCGUCCCUUGUACGACACCAGACACGGCUGCGUCGCUGCCAACAGAGGGCUCUCCCGGCGCGCGACCAUCAAGGAGGAGGUGAGCAGGCCCGGCUCGAUGCCGUAG